Molecule: long non-coding RNA, 1662 nt
Organism: Grammomys surdaster
Lineage: Eukaryota; Metazoa; Chordata; Mammalia; Rodentia; Muridae
Exons: 2
Source: RefSeq, a predicted model, not a curated record
ACCCGGCCCAGCCCGCUCACCGUGAGGGUGUCGUCUAUGUAGAGGGGAAUCUGCCUCCUCUCGAAGGGGAACUCCUCCUCCCCGUCCCUGCACACUGCCACCAGUCGCGCCAUCGUCCCCGACGCUGCCGUUGCCACCGUCACCACCUCCUCCCAGCUGCCGCUGCUGCCGCCGCCGCCGCUGCUCCUGCCGCUGCUGCCUCCUCCCAGCUCCUGCCUGCAACAGCCAAACCCCGCGAGCGUUUGACACAUGCGGACUUCCACCACUGGAAGAAAGACUGGAGGAAAGGGAUCUGCUACCCUGAUUGACCCAGAACCAGCCGCCUCAUGGGGACUGUGUCAAGAUCUCUCGACAGGAUGGAAAAUACGUGUAGAAUCUGUUGUUACAAUAGACAGAAAAUGGAACAGUAGUCCUAUGUGUAGGAUCUGACCAAAGGAACUUCUUGAGUUAAUAUUAACUUAAGAGGCUCCCUUGGACAAAGUACUGAUGGUGGCCAAAGGCUCUUCGGUCUGACCAUCUUCCGAGAACCAGAGCUGCUGUAAAGAGAGUUCCUCUACACCCUGACCACUGCCACAUUCUCAAGUCCUAGUCUAAGGAGGUCCAUUGUAAAGCCAAAAGGAUGGGAAAUGUUUCGUCUUUGUGGUUUUAAUGAUAAAUCCACUCGAUGCUUGUACAAAUGCCCGAUCUUAAGGACAGAUCGAAUAUUUUCUGGUAAAAUAGACUAAAGUUGUUGUUACUGACAUUUAAAAGUAUUUUGAUCACAUGAAGUCUUUCAAAUCACAACCAAAAAAAAAAAAAAAAUCCACACUGCAUCCUUAGCCAUGCUGACUUAUGACAUUGUGUGGUCAUUGUUAGAGUAGGUGACAUAAUAAACUGGAAGAACCAUUGUGUGUUCCCAAAGGUGUGAUUAUCCAGUAAAUAUGUCUUUGGGCCAUACUAAAAGCAGAACAGUGUGAUCCUUAAUUUAAAUCCAGUUUUUCAUGCACGUUCUGAAAGGUUAGAAUACAGACAUUUUUAGAAAAUCUUGUGUUUUAUGUCUAUGACUACUACAAUCCAUGUACCUACUUUGAUUUUUGAAUUUUAGAUUAUGUUUGGUAACAAAUAUUGAGCCAAUACGUAUAUAGCUACUAACUUUAAUUUUCACUAUUAAAUACACACCAGAUACUAGCAAAGAAUCAAGCUAUGAAGAAAAGGGCAGUUGAAAAGCUAGAAUACCUUCUGUUUUCACUACAAUGGCUGUAUUUGAUAUGGUAGUAAAAUCAAUGUUACUUAAAUUAGUACAUCUGCAAAUCUUAAGUUGGAUUUUCCUUUGUGUGAUCUGACAGUAUGAAAUUCUAUUUUAUCAAUUACAAAUAGAAACACAAGACCAGUAUGGUAGCACAUACCUGCAAUCCCAGCACUUAGAGGAGGCUAAGGCAGGGGAGUUUACCAUAAAUUGAAGACCAGAUUAGAUUGCACAGACCUUUUUUCAAAAUAGGAAUUAAGUAGACAUAUUAGGCAUUCCUUUUAAUAGGCAUAAAUUAAAAUGUAAGCUCCUUAAAGGUAGGGUUUUGUCUCAUCUGUUUGUAUUCCUGGCACCUAUACCCGACACAAUAGAGCUCAGUAAAUCAAUUGUGAUCUUUCCCUUCUGAAAAACAAAUCAGAGGGAGUUUUGCCUACUAA